Molecule: transfer RNA, 67 nt
Filed under: Plagiorchis maculosus
Lineage: Eukaryota; Metazoa; Platyhelminthes; Trematoda; Plagiorchiida; Plagiorchiidae
Description: tRNA-His
Source: RNAcentral
UUCUUGUUUAAGUUAAAUUUAUAGACUGCGAAUUUGUGGUGUUCGAAGUUUCUUUGAAAGCGGGAAA